CCUACGGGUGGCUGCAGUAGGGAAUAUUGCUCAAUGGGGGAAACCCUGAAGCAGCAACGCCGCGUGGAGGAUGAAGGUUUUCGGAUUGUAAACUUCUUUUGUUAGAGAAGAUAAUGACGGUAUCUAACGAAUAAGCCCCGGCUAACUCCGUGCCAGCAGCCGCGGUAAUACGGAGGGUGCAAGCGUUACCCGGAAUAACUGGGCGUAACGAGGGCGUAGGCGGGAUGGCAAGUCAGAUGUGAAAUCCUAUGGCUUAACCAUAGAACUGCAUUUGAAACUGUUAUUCUAGAGUAAGGGGGGGGUAGGUGGAAUUCUAGGUGUGGGGGUAAAUUCGG
RNAcentral lists this ribosomal RNA (335 nucleotides) under uncultured bacterium. RNAcentral's name for it is "partial 16S ribosomal RNA". It matches the Rfam family "Bacterial small subunit ribosomal RNA", at positions 338 to 691 of the family's 1533-position model. The record is from RNAcentral.